UACGAAGGGUGCAAGCGUUGUUCGGAAUUAUUGGGCGUAAAGAGCUUGUAGGCGGUUUGUCGCGUCUGCUGUGAAAAUCCGGGGCUCAACCCCGGACUUGCAGUGGGUACGGGCAGACUAGAGUGUGGUAGGGGAGACUGGAAUUCCUGGUGUAGCGGUGAAAUGCGCAGAUAUCAGGAGGAACACCGAUGGCGAAGGCAGGUCUCUGGGCCACUACUGACGCUGAGAAGCGAAAGCAUGGGGAGCGAACAGG
Molecule: ribosomal RNA, 253 nt
Filed under: uncultured bacterium
Lineage: Bacteria
Description: partial 16S ribosomal RNA
Rfam family: Bacterial small subunit ribosomal RNA
Source: RNAcentral